CACGUAGGCCGUUGAGUUAGUUAAUUGUGAAAUCCCAAAGCUUAACUUUGGAACUGCAAUUAAAACUGCUCGACUAGAGUUUGAUAGAGGAAAGCGGAAUACAUAGUGUAGAGGUGAAAUUCGUAGAUAUUAUGUAGAACACCAGUUGCGAAGGCGGCUUUCUGGAUCAACACUGACGCUGAGGCGCGAAAGUAUGGGUAGCAAAGA
Molecule: ribosomal RNA, 207 nt
Filed under: uncultured bacterium
Lineage: Bacteria
Description: partial 16S ribosomal RNA
Rfam family: Bacterial small subunit ribosomal RNA
Source: RNAcentral